This 497-nucleotide ribosomal RNA is filed under the name uncultured bacterium. Its description in RNAcentral is "partial 16S ribosomal RNA". It matches the Rfam family "Bacterial small subunit ribosomal RNA", at positions 28 to 507 of the family's 1533-position model. The record is from RNAcentral.
GAUGAACGCUGGCGGCGUGCCUAAUACAUGCAAGUCGAGCGAACGGACGAGAAGCUUGCGUCUCUGAUGUUAGCGGCGGACGGGUGUGUAACACGUGGAUAACCUACCUAUAAGACUGGGAUAACUUCGGGAAACCGGAGCUAAUACCGGAUAAUAUUUUGAACCGCAGGGUGCAAAAGUGAAAGACGGUCUUGCUGUCACUAAUAGAUGGAUCCGCGCUGCAUUAGCUAGUUGGUAAGGUAACGGCUUACCAAGGCAACGAUGCAUAGCCGACCUGAGAGGCUGUUCGCCCGCCCUGGAGCUGGACCACGGUCCUUACUCCUACGGGAGGCAGCAGUAUGGAAUCUUCCGCAGUGGGCGAAGGCCUGACGGAGCAACGCCGCGUGAGCGAUGAAGGUCUUCGGAUCGUAAAACUCUGUUAUUAGGUAAGAACAUAUGUGUAAGUAACUGUGCACAUCUUGACGGUACCUAAUCAGAAAGCCACGGCUAACUACGUG